GCGCCGCUAGCUCAGUUGGUUAGAGCAACUGACUCUUAAUCAGUGGGUCCGGGGUUCGAGUCCCUGGCGGCGCACCG
RNAcentral lists this transfer RNA (77 nucleotides) under Streptomyces oceani. Its description in RNAcentral is "tRNA-Lys". It matches the Rfam family "tRNA". Rfam says of the family: Transfer RNA (tRNA) molecules are approximately 80 nucleotides in length. Their secondary structure includes four short double-helical elements and three loops (D, anti-codon, and T loops). The record is from RNAcentral. Lineage: Bacteria; Bacillati; Actinomycetota; Actinomycetes; Kitasatosporales; Streptomycetaceae.